CGCGACAUGGUCGGGUGGUAAUGCGAGGGAUUGCAAAUCCCUUAUUCCCCAGUUCAAAUCCAGGUGUUGCCU
Gossypium raimondii (Peruvian cotton) is the source of this 72-nucleotide transfer RNA. It matches the Rfam family "tRNA". From Rfam's summary of the family: Transfer RNA (tRNA) molecules are approximately 80 nucleotides in length. Their secondary structure includes four short double-helical elements and three loops (D, anti-codon, and T loops). The record is from Rfam. Lineage: Eukaryota; Viridiplantae; Streptophyta; Magnoliopsida; Malvales; Malvaceae.